This 464-nucleotide ribosomal RNA is filed under the name Vreelandella stevensii. RNAcentral describes it as "partial 16S ribosomal RNA". It matches the Rfam family "Bacterial small subunit ribosomal RNA", at positions 339 to 795 of the family's 1533-position model. The record is from RNAcentral. Lineage: Bacteria; Pseudomonadati; Pseudomonadota; Gammaproteobacteria; Oceanospirillales; Halomonadaceae.
CCACGGGCUUCAGCAGUGGGGAAUAUUGGACAAUGGGCGAAAGCCUGAUCCAGCCAUGCCGCGUGUGUGAAGAAGGCCUUCGGGUUGUAAAGCACUUUCAGUGGGGAAGAAAGCCUUGGGGCUAAUACCCUCGAGGAAGGACAUCACCCACAGAAGAAGCACCGGCUAACUCCGUGCCAGCAGCCGCGGUAAUACGGAGGGUGCGAGCGUUAAUCGGAAUUACUGGGCGUAAAGCGCGCGUAGGCGGUCUGAUAAGCCGGUUGUGAAAGCCCCGGGCUCAACCUGGGAACGGCAUCCGGAACUGUCAGGCUAGAGUGCAGGAGAGGAAGGUAGAAUUCCCGGUGUAGCGGUGAAAUGCGUAGAGAUCGGGAGGAAUACCAGUGGCGAAGGCGGCCUUCUGGACUGACACUGACGCUGAGGUGCGAAAGCGUGGGUAGCAAACAGGAUUAGAUACCCCAGUAGUC